AGAUAAUAGAUACCCGGGUAGUCCACGCCCUAAACGAUGUCGACUGGUUGUUGGGGGUUUGACACUCUCAGUAAACGAAAGCUAAACGCGUGAAGUCGACCGCCUGGGGAGUACGGCCGCAAGGUUAAAACUCAAAGGAAUUGACGGGGACCCGCACAAGCGGUGGAUUAUGUGAAUUAAUUCGAUGCAACGCGAAAAACCUUACCUACCCUUGACAUGUCCAGAAGGCUGCUGAAGGGCGGCUGUGCCCGAAAGGGAACUGGAACACAGGUGCUGCAUGGCUGUCGUCAGCUCGUGUCGUGAGAUGUUGGGUUAAGUCCCGCAACGAGCGCAACCCUUGUCAUUAGUUGCUACCCGCAAGGGAGCACUCUAAUGAGACUGCCGGUGACAAACCGGAGGAAGGUGGGGAUGACGUCAAGUCCUCAUGGCCCCUAUGGGUAGGGCUUCACACGUAAUACAAUGGCGCGUACAGAGGGUUGCCAAGGAGCGAUCUGGAGCCAAUCCCGU
RNAcentral lists this ribosomal RNA (507 nucleotides) under uncultured bacterium. Its description in RNAcentral is "bacterial SSU rRNA". It matches the Rfam family "Bacterial small subunit ribosomal RNA", at positions 775 to 1277 of the family's 1533-position model. The record is from RNAcentral.